UACGGAGGGUGCAAGCGUUAAUCGGAAUUACUGGGCGUAAAGCGCACGCAGGUGGCUGAGUCAGUCGAUUGUGAAAGCCCUGGGCUCAACCUGGGAAUUGCAGUCGAUACUACUCAGCUAGAGUAUGGGAGAGGGCAGUGGAAUUCCCGGUGUAGCGGUGAAAUGCGUAGAUAUCUGGAGGAACACCGGUGGCGAAGGCGACAUCCUGGACCGGCAUUGACGCUGAGGCGCGAAAGCCAGGGGAGCAAACGGG
This 253-nucleotide ribosomal RNA is filed under the name uncultured bacterium. RNAcentral describes it as "partial 16S ribosomal RNA". It matches the Rfam family "Bacterial small subunit ribosomal RNA", at positions 524 to 776 of the family's 1533-position model. The record is from RNAcentral.